AUUGAACGCUGGCGGUAUGCCUAACACAUGCAAGUCGAACGGAAACGAUGGUAGCUUGCUACCAGGCGUCGAGUGGCGGACGGGUGAGUAACGCGUAGGAAUCUGCCUAGUAGUGGGGGAUAGCCCAGAGAAAUUUGGAUUAAUACCGCAUACACUCUACGGAGAAAAGCAGGGGAUCUUAGGACCUUGCGCUAUUAGAUAAGCCUGCGUGGGAUUAGCUAGUUGGUGAGGUAAAGGCUCACCAAGGCGACGAUCUCUAGCUGGUCUGAGAGGAUGAUCAGCCACACUGGAACUGAGACACGGUCCAGACUCCUACGGGAGGCAGCAGUAGGGAGUAUUGGACAAUGGGCGCAAGCCUGAUCCAGCAAUGCCGCGUGUGUGAAGAAGGCCUGCGGGUUGUAAAGCACUUUCAAUUGGGAAGAAAGAUUUAGAGUUAAUACCUCUUAAUAUUGACGUUACCAAUAGAAGAAGCACCGGCUAACUCUGUGCCAGCAGCCGCGGUAAUACAGAGGGUGCAAGCGUUAAUCGGAAUUACUGGGCGUAAAGCGCGCGUAGGCGGUUAAUUAAGUCAGAUGUGAAAGCCCCGGGCUCAACCUGGGAACUGCAUUUGAAACUGGUUAACUAGAGUGUGGUAGAGGAGAGUGGAAUUUCAGGUGUAGCGGUGAAAUGCGUAGAGAUCUGAAGGAACACCAGUGGCGAAGGCGGCUCUCUGGACCAACACUGACGCUGAGGUGCGAAAGCGUGGGUAGCAAACAGGAUUAGAUACCCUGGUAGUCCACGCCGUAAACGAUGUCUACUAGCCGUUGGGGUCCUUGAGGCCUUAGUGGCGCAGCUAACGCAUUAAGUAGACCGCCUGGGGAGUACGGCCGCAAGGCUAAAACUCAAAUGAAUUGACGGGGGCCCGCACAAGCGGUGGAGCAUGUGGUUUAAUUCGAUGCAACGCGAACAACCUUACCUACCCUUGACACAAACAGAAUCUGUUAGAGAUAGACGUGUGCCUUCGGGGACGCUGUGACAGGUGCUGCAUGGCUGUCGUCAGCUCGUGUUGUGAAAUGUUGGGUUAAGUCCCGCAACGAGCGCAACCCCUAUCCUUAUUUGCCAGCGCGUUAUGGCGGGAACUCUAAGGAGACUGCCGGGGAUAACCGUGAGGAAGGUGGGGAUGACGUCAAAUCAUCACGGCCCUUACCGGAUGGGCUACACACGUGCUACAAUGGCAGGUACAGAGGGCAGCAAUACUGCGAGGUUGAGCGAAUCCCACAAAGCUUGUCGUAGUCCGGAUUGGAGUCUGCAACUCGACUCCAUGAAGUCGGAAUCGCUAGUAAUCGUAGAUCAGAAUGCUACGGUGAAUACGUUCCCGGGCCUUGUACACACCGCCCGUCACACCAUGGGAGUGGGAUGCAAAAGAAGUGGCUAGUCUAACCUUCGGGGGGCCGGUAACCACUUUGUGUUUCAUGACUGGGGUG
RNAcentral lists this ribosomal RNA (1463 nucleotides) under uncultured prokaryote. RNAcentral's name for it is "partial 16S ribosomal RNA". It matches the Rfam family "Bacterial small subunit ribosomal RNA". The record is from RNAcentral.